This 492-nucleotide ribosomal RNA is filed under the name uncultured bacterium. RNAcentral describes it as "partial 16S ribosomal RNA". It matches the Rfam family "Bacterial small subunit ribosomal RNA", at positions 29 to 507 of the family's 1533-position model. The record is from RNAcentral.
AGUGAACGCUGGCGGUACGCCUAACACAUGCCAGUCGAACGGCAGCACAGUAAGAGCUUGCUCUUACGGGUGGCGAGUGGCGGACGGGUGAGGAAUACAUCGGAAUCUACUUUUUCGUGGGGGAUAACGUAGGGAAACUUACGCUAAUACCGCAUACGACCUACGGGUGAAAGCAGGGGAUCUUCGGACCUUGCGCGAUUGAAUGAGCCGAUGUCGGAUUAGCUAGUUGGCGGGGUAAAGGCCCACCAAGGCGACGAUCCGUAGCUGGUCUGAGAGGAUGAUCAGCCACACUGGAACUGAGACACGGUCCAGACUCCUACGGGAGGCAGCAGUGGGGAAUAUUGGACAAUGGGCGCAAGCCUGAUCCAGCCAUACCGCGUGGGUGAAGAAGGCCUUCGGGUUGUAAAGCCCUUUUGUUGGGAAAGAAAAGCAGCAGGUUAAUACCCCGCUGUUCUGACGGUACCCAAAGAAUAAGCACCGGCUAACUUCGUG